AUGGUUGUCGUCAGCUCGUGUCGUGAGAUGUUGGGUUAAGUCCCGCAACGAGCGCAACCCCUACGUUUAGUUGCUAACAGGUGAAGCUGAGCACUCUAGACGAACUGCCGUUGACAAAACGGAGGAAGGUGGGAUGACGUCAAAUCAUCAUGCCCCUUAUGUUCUGGGCUACACACGUGCUACAAUGGCCGGUACAGACGGAGGCGAAGCCGCGAGGCGGAGCAAAUCCGAAAAAGCCGGUCUCAGUUCGGAUUGCAGGCUGCAAUUCGCCUGCAUGAAGUCGGAAUCGCUAGUAAUCGCAGGUCAGCAUACUGCGGUCGAAUACGUUCCGGGCCUU
Molecule: ribosomal RNA, 337 nt
Filed under: uncultured Pelotomaculum sp.
Lineage: Bacteria; Bacillati; Bacillota; Clostridia; Eubacteriales; Desulfotomaculaceae
Description: bacterial SSU rRNA
Rfam family: Bacterial small subunit ribosomal RNA
Source: RNAcentral